Molecule: ribosomal RNA, 234 nt
Filed under: uncultured bacterium
Lineage: Bacteria
Description: partial 16S ribosomal RNA
Rfam family: Bacterial small subunit ribosomal RNA
Source: RNAcentral
UACGAAGGGGGCUAGCGUUGUCGUAAUCACUGGGCGUAAAGGGCGCGUAGGCGGACAGUUUAGUCAGAGGUGAAAGCCCAGGGCUCAACCUUGGAACUGCCUUUGAUACUGGCUGUCUUGAGUUCGGGAGAGGUGAGUGGAAUGCCGAGUGUAGAGGUGAAAUUCGUAGAUAUUCGGCGGAACACCAGUGGCGAAGGCGACUCACUGGCCCGAUACUGACGCUGAGGCGCGAAA